UAGAGUUUGAUCCUGGCUCAGAUUGAACGCUGGCGGCAUGCCUUACACAUGCAAGUCGAACGGCAGCACGGGGGCAACCCUGGUGGCGAGUGGCGAACGGGUGAGUAAUACAUCGGAACGUGUCCUGUCGUGGGGGAUAACCAGUCGAAAGAUUGGCUAAUACCGCAUGAGAUCGAGAGAUGAAAGCGGGGGACCGCAAGGCCUCGCGCGAUAGGAGCGGCCGAUGUCGGAUUAGCUAGUUGGUGGGGUAAAGGCCCACCAAGGCGACGAUCCGUAGCUGGUUUGAGAGAACGACCAGCCACACUGGGACUGAGACACGGCCCAGACUCCUACGGGAGGCAGCAGUGGGGAAUUUUGGACAAUGGGCGCAAGCCUGAUCCAGCCAUGCCGCGUGUGUGAAGAAGGCCUUCGGGUUGUAAAGCACUUUCGGACGGAACGAAAUCGCGCGGGUAAAUAAUCCGCGUGGAUGACGGUACCGUAAGAAGAAGCACCGGCUAACUACGUGCCAGCAGCCGCGGUAAUACGUAGGGUGCGAGCGUUAAUCGGAAUUACUGGGCGUAAAGGGUGCGCAGGCGGCUCCGCAUGUCAGGCGUGAAAUCCCCGAGCUUAACUUGGGAAUUGCGCUUGAAACUACGGGGCUAGAGUGUGGCAGAGGGAGGUGGAAUUCCACGUGUAGCGGUGAAAUGCGUAGAGAUGUGGAGGAACACCGAUGGCGAAGGCAGCCUCCUGGGCCAACACUGACGCUCAUGCACGAAAGCGUGGGGAGCAAACAGGAUUAGAUACCCCUGGUAGUCCACGCCCUAAACGAUGUCUA
RNAcentral lists this ribosomal RNA (814 nucleotides) under uncultured bacterium. Its description in RNAcentral is "bacterial SSU rRNA". It matches the Rfam family "Bacterial small subunit ribosomal RNA", at positions 1 to 815 of the family's 1533-position model. The record is from RNAcentral.